Rhamnusium bicolor is the source of this 80-nucleotide non-coding RNA. Lineage: Eukaryota; Metazoa; Arthropoda; Insecta; Coleoptera; Cerambycidae. The record is from the annotation of a GenBank genome assembly.
GCAUGGUAGCCAAGUGGGUAAAGCGCUUAUAGCUAUCCAUUCGGUACCGAAGGUCGGUGGUUCGAUUCCACCCUGGAGCA